This is a long non-coding RNA of Nerophis ophidion (straightnose pipefish), 844 nucleotides long. RefSeq lists it as uncharacterized. The transcript is spliced from 3 exons. The record is from RefSeq and is a predicted model, not a curated record. Lineage: Eukaryota; Metazoa; Chordata; Actinopteri; Syngnathiformes; Syngnathidae.
GCGCCAAAAUGGGAGCGUGGACCAAGAAGUCAAGUGUGUUCGUAUUUGGAGAGGGUAAUUGUUUAUUGGACAUUUCUUGAAAAAUGUCAUCAAAAUCUAUGUGAAACUAUUUAAGUUAUGUCGCUAACAAACAGACAAACACAACCUUGUGAAAACGUAACUUCUGUGGCGGAGCCGAGGUCAGAACGUCUUUGUUUCCUUAAAGCCGACACAGAACAAGCAAGUCACGGCGCAGCGAACGGAGCAGCUGGAGAAUGGCCGCCGGAAGGCAGCUGGCACGCUGGACAAGUCACCCUCCCAGAAAAUAUAUUUGAAGCCAGCGAAACCAAACAUCAGUUUAUGAGGUGGCGACUUGUCCAGGAUGUACCCUGCCUACCACCCGAAGGCAGCUGAGAUAGCCUCCAGCAGCCCUGGUAGUAAAAAUGGAUGGAUGAAUGGCGUUGACCGGUCCGCCCUUCGCCACCACCAGGGGGUGCAAAAUACAGCAGCCCACCUGUUGACAAGAACUAAAUAACCCCAGCUCUCUACUCUCCAUUGCCUCCCAGUACAUCCAAGGACUGCUCCCGUCUGUCCCACGCUCCAGACUCAGCAUUCAAAGGCACAUAGCUUUUUCUGUGGCUGACCCCAAAUUAUGGAACAAUUUGCUUCUGCACCUUAAGGCUGUAAAACGAGAACAUUUUAAAUCCUUGCUAAAAAUGCAACUAUUUUCCAAACAAUCUGCGACUUCCCCCUCUCUUUUUAUCUUGUUUUACCUUAACAUUUUUACCUAUAUUGUCUAAUGUGCCUGUGCAGCACCUUAUUCAACAUAGUUAAUUUGAAUGUGCUAUAUAAUAAAGUUGGACUU